Molecule: ribosomal RNA, 192 nt
Filed under: uncultured Actinomycetales bacterium
Lineage: Bacteria; Bacillati; Actinomycetota; Actinomycetes; Actinomycetales
Description: partial 16S ribosomal RNA
Rfam family: Bacterial small subunit ribosomal RNA
Source: RNAcentral
AAUAAGCCGUAGGGAAACUGGGUCUAAUACCGGAUAGGAGCCAUUUUUAGUGUGAUGGUUGGAAAGUUUUUUCGGUGUAGGAUGAGCUCGCGGCCUAUCAGCCUGUUGGUGGGGGUAAUGGCCUACCAAGGCGGCGACGGGUAGCCGGCCUGAGAGGGUGGACGGCCACAUUGGGACUGAGAUACGGCCCAG